This 468-nucleotide ribosomal RNA is filed under the name uncultured bacterium. RNAcentral describes it as "partial 16S ribosomal RNA". It matches the Rfam family "Bacterial small subunit ribosomal RNA", at positions 28 to 507 of the family's 1533-position model. The record is from RNAcentral.
GACGAACGCUGGCGGCGUGCUUAACACAUGCAAGUCGAACGGAAAGGCCCUGCUUUUGUGGGGUGCUCGAUUGGCGAACGGGUGAGUAACACGUGAGUAUCCUGCCCUUUUCUUUGGGAUAACUUCAGGAAACUGGGGCUAAUACCUGAUAUGAUCUCCUGCUGCAUGGUGGGGGUUGGAAAGUUUCGGCGGUUGGGGAUGGACUCGCGGCUUAUCAGCUUGUUGGUGUGGUAGUGGCUUACCAAGGCUUUGACGGGUAGCCGGCCUGAGAGGGUGACCGGCGACAUUGGGACUGAGAUACGGACCAGAGGCCUACGGGAGGCAGCAGUGGGGAAUAUUGCACAAUGGGAGGAAGCCUGAUGCAGAAACGCCGCGUGCGGGAUGACGGCCUUCGGGUUGUAAACCGCUUUCGCAUGUGACGAAGCGUGAGUGACGGUAAUGGGUAAAGAAGCACCGGCUAACUACGUG